Molecule: ribosomal RNA, 388 nt
Filed under: uncultured bacterium
Lineage: Bacteria
Description: bacterial SSU rRNA
Rfam family: Bacterial small subunit ribosomal RNA
Source: RNAcentral
AAUGAACGCUGGCGGCGCGCUUAAUACAUGCAAGUCGAGCGAGAAGACGUAGCAAUACGUUUGUAAAGCGGCGAACGGGUGAGGAAUACAUGGGGUAACCUACCCUCGAGUGGGGAAGUAACUAGCCGAAGGUUAGCUAAUACCGCGUACGCUCCUUGGACUUCGGUUCAGGGAGGAAAGCGAUACCGUGGGUAUCGCGCUCUUGGUUGGGCUCAUGUCCUAUCAGCUUGUUGGUGAGGAACGGCUCACCAAGGCUUCGACGGGUAGCUGGUCUGAGAGGACGAUCAGCCACACUGGCACUGCGACACGGGCCAGACUCCUACGGGAGGCAGCAGUAAGGAUAUUGCGCAAUGGGCGAAAGCCUGACGCAGCGACGCCGCGUGGGGGA